Long non-coding RNA from Manacus vitellinus (golden-collared manakin), 1981 nucleotides. RefSeq lists it as uncharacterized. The transcript has 6 exons. Lineage: Eukaryota; Metazoa; Chordata; Aves; Passeriformes; Pipridae. The record is from RefSeq and is a predicted model, not a curated record.
AGGCAGUGCACCGACUUCUAACAUGCAGUCCAACGUGAUGGGGACCCUGCCUGAGAUGUAGACAGCCUGACAGGGCCGAAGCCAACUCACAAUGAGGAGAUGGACACGGUUUGGUCCCCUGGAGCUGUCCUUGUAGGUAAUCUCUGAGUAUUAAAAGGAUCAGCAAUGAAGGAUUAAGCUUUUUGAUUGCAGGUGCCAUCGAGGUAAUCUUUGGGAGCAGAUGAGCAUUGGAGGUAACCCAGAAGAUGACAGCACAUUGUCCGACUCGAGUCAGAGCCAGCGACCCGAGGCCCUGCCUCGGUGAGAGUGAGUAGAGGGAUUAUGGUGGCUGGGGCCAUGUGCCACACUACUGAGAUCUGGUGUCUGGUUUUCUUUCUUGCAGUUGACUCCUAGUAGUCUCAUGAUGGCAGGAAUGUCUGAGCCAGCCCAGGUGCCCCUCCUGUGCAUCCAAGAUGGAUUCACAUCCCCGGCUCUCGGCAAGAUAAGUGCAGGGCAAAGCCCCAGAGAGGGGUUGGGAGUGGGUGCAAGUCUGUGCCUGGCCUGGAGGGAUUUUUGCAAUUAGUCCAGUGCAGUGGGUAUCCUGGAACAGGUUAUUUGGAUGCAUCAGAGGAAGGGCUUACUUUGUAUCACUGGAUUCACAUGUGCAGGGCAGAGCAGUUCUGGUGUGUGUCAUGUCCUUUGUCUCGUCUGUGUUUUGUGUCCUUCGUCUCUUAAUUGUGUCACGUGGUGUGUGUUGUCACAGGUGUGGGGUGUCUCACUUGGGGUCAGCCUGGAACUGCUCUGCUUUGCUACGUGGAUCAGUGGGUAGAUAGAAUAUUGCUCAGAGUCUGUCCAGUCUGUGAGCAGGAUGGUCUUGCGAUGCCCUGCUUGGGUGUAUAGCGUCCCGGCUAGGUAGAGUAGGAACCAGUGUCUAGGGUUUAGAGGUUUUUGUCUUUCGUUGUGAGCAAUCCCUAAAUGUUGGAGGGCUGAGUGUUUGAGCAUUUGCCCAUUUCAUUUGCAGGGGCGGUCUUGGGAGCAGCUGAAGAGAGAGGAGCCUUGUAGGUGAGUCGGGGAGGCAGCAGGAGGAGCGGGGAUCCCCUGCAGCUUUAGAGAUGCCCUCUAAUUUUGUCUCUCACUCACUCAGUUGACUCCGAGUAGUCUGACGAUGGCAGGAACCUCUGAGCCAGCCCAGGUGCCCCUCGUCUGCAUCAAAACUGGAUUGGCAUCCCCGGCUCUCGGAAAGAUAAGUGCAGGGCAAAGACCCAGAGAGGGGCUGGGAGUCAGUGCAAGUAUAUGUGCCUUGCCUGGAAGGGUUUUUGAAAUUAGUCCGGUGCAAGGGAUAUCCUAUAACAGAUUAUUUGUACGCAUCAAAGGAAGGGCUUACUUUUUAUCAUUGGAUUCCCGUGUGCCGGGCAGAGCAGUUCCAGUCUGUGUCAUGUCCUUUGUCUCGUCUGUGUUUUGUGUCCUUCGUCUCUUAAUUGUGUCACGUGGUGUGUGUUGUCACAGGUGUGGGGUGUGUCACUUGGGGUCAGCCUGGAACUGCUCUGCUUUGCUACGUGGAUCAGUGGGUAGAUAGAAUAUUGCUCAGAGUCUGUCCAGUCUGUGAGCAGGAUGGCCUUGUGAUGCCCUGCUUGGGUGUAUGGAGUCCCAGCUAGGUAGAGUAGGAACCAGUGUCUAGGGUUUAGAGGUUUUUGUCUUUCGUUGUGAGCAAUCCCUAAAUGUUGGAGGGCUGAGUGUUUGAGCAUUUGCCCAUUUCAUUUGCAGGGGCGGUCUUGGGAGCAGCUGAAGAGAGAGGAGCCUUGUAGGUAUCCCGGAAGGUGACAGCCACAGUGUCGGACUCCGGUCAGAGCCAGGGUGCUGUUGAGUUGGAGAAACCCCAUGACCUCACGAUGGGGCGACUGACCCAGAUUGGUCAUCUUGGGCUGUCCUCGUGUGCAAUCUCCGAGAUUUAAAAGGAUGAGCAAUGAGGCACUGAGCUUUAGUGCUGGCAGGUGUCAUCUGG